Molecule: long non-coding RNA, 286 nt
Filed under: Elaeis guineensis (African oil palm)
Lineage: Eukaryota; Viridiplantae; Streptophyta; Magnoliopsida; Arecales; Arecaceae
Description: long non-coding RNA (EGUI_LNC016762)
Source: RNAcentral
CCAUCAAUCUUUUCCGACCAAAUAAAAUUUAAUAUAGACCUUCCAGAAUGCAUAAUUAGUGUUAUUCAAUAUUUUGAUCUUAGCAGCUUUAGCCAUGAUGAUUUAACUCUUGAAUCAUCAAACAAGAGUCCAUACUUGUACUAGUGUACAAUGAAUUAGUAGAAGCUUUUCAAACACGCUGAGCUAUGAAUGCAUAAAUCACCAAUCUCUAGGCCUAUAACUCUGGUAUCAUGUAGAACGCAAAAUAAAUAGGUCACGAAUUUCAAAUCAUUAGCUCUGAUACCAU